This is a long non-coding RNA of Alosa sapidissima (American shad), 892 nucleotides long. RefSeq lists it as uncharacterized. The record is from RefSeq and is a predicted model, not a curated record. NCBI's taxonomy places the organism in Eukaryota, Metazoa, Chordata, Actinopteri, Clupeiformes, Clupeidae. The transcript is spliced from 2 exons.
CAUCUCCGUACUGGUUAAAGGCUAGGCUAACGAUCAAGUUUUCCAUUCUUGGCAUGUUCUAACCGCCACAAACCUUAAGCCCUUACUUCUGGAAUCUCAGUGGAGAUUGUUAGUCUUAAACUGAUGAUGAAAGAUGUGGGAUUCUUUCCUACCUGCAGGAGAGGAUCAUUGUUGGAAUACAGACAACUGUGUGGCUGUAACGUUAGGCCUACUGUCCAGACCUCAUUCCGACUCAGACUGAGCACAUGGACAUGGUCCCUGGGUGCCUUCUGUUGGCUGCCUACCUGAGAGUCACUGCUUGGAUGGGGGAAAACAUACCUUUGCCAUACGACUAUUAUAUAGUUAUUACUACUAACUAGUUACUUACCCCUAACCCUAAAGAAGUGAGAGAGCAGUAAUGUUAGAAUUAAUAACUAUAGUGAUAUUUUAAUUAAAUAUAAUUUGUGUUACAACCUGGUACAUUAAUGAAGUAAAAUAGCACCAUAGACCACCAUCUACAGUUCUACAUUUCCGCCUUGACAUUAAAGAAUUAUAACUUGUGCAGUAUUGCACUGUCUCUCCCUACAAGCUUUAAACUUGGCUUGACUCAUUCCCAUAGAUAGGGGUACUGAUUGAUGCUAUGUUAUGUUUCCAAGCUGAUAUUCACUUUGAAAACUGGUUCUCUUUAGGCGGAGAUAGUUUUUUUCAUGUUCUAGUUCUGUUGUCUCUUACACUGUACAAUAAAUGUCAAUUCUGACACUUCUGCAGACAGCCCAUGAGUGUUAGCUUUCAUUUGAUACCUUUUUUAUGUAUAUGGUCCUUGUGGUUGUGGAGAUAUUCAACAUUUAUUGCUGGCAUGUCGUGUUGAGCAGGAAACCAAAAAAUUGGCCUGAAAUUGCUUGUACAAGUCACA